AGGUAGAUAUGUAUAGGGGGAAGGAGACAGGGAUACUGGAGUGAUGGAGGUAGAUAUGUAUAGGGGAAGGAGACAGGGAUACUGGAGUGAUGGAGGUAGAUAUGUAGAGGGGGAAGGAGACAGGGAUACUAGAGUGAUGGAGGUAGAUAUGUAUAGGGGAAGGUGACAGGGAUACUGGAGUGAUGGAGGUAGAUAUGUAGAGGGGGAAGGUGACAGGGAUACUGGAGUGAUGGAGGUAGAUAUGUAGAGGGGGAAGGAGACAGGGAUACUGGAGUGAUGGAGGUAGAUAUGUAGAGGGGGAAGGAGACAGGGAUACUGGAGUGAUGGAGGUAGAUAUGUAGAGGGGGAAGGAGACAGGGAUACUGGAGUGAUGGAGGUAGAUAUGUAGAGGGGGAAGGGGACAGGGAUACUGGAGUGAUGGAGGUAGAUAUGUAUAGGGGGAAGGAGACUAGGCGUCAGGAUGCAUGAUAAACAGAGUAGCAGCAGCGUAAAUGAA
Molecule: long non-coding RNA, 496 nt
Organism: Oncorhynchus tshawytscha (Chinook salmon)
Lineage: Eukaryota; Metazoa; Chordata; Actinopteri; Salmoniformes; Salmonidae
Source: Ensembl